Hordeum vulgare subsp. vulgare (domesticated barley) is the source of this 665-nucleotide long non-coding RNA. RefSeq lists it as uncharacterized. The record is from RefSeq and is a predicted model, not a curated record. NCBI's taxonomy places the organism in Eukaryota, Viridiplantae, Streptophyta, Magnoliopsida, Poales, Poaceae. The transcript is spliced from 3 exons.
CAGUAUUCGUGUGAGAGGAGACGCGACCUAACCCUCAUGAAAUUUCUCCCCCGGAUGUGACGGCGCCGCCUCCUCCGCCCUCCUCCCUCCCGUAGUUCGCCGCCGGGAUCCAAGCCGAGCCAGAUGCUGCCUCAGAUCCCGAGGCCUCUUGGCUCUUGACGUCGUCGUUGCCGCUGCCGCUGCCGUCCGCGCCGAGGCCUCUUGGUUCUUGGCCUCCGUUGCCGCUGUCGUCCGCGCUCCGACGGCAGAUCCUUCCGAAAACGUGUCAUUUUCGCCGGUACCCGAGCCUUGGUUUAUAGUGGGAGUGGAUGAGCCGCCACCUUCGUGGGAUCCCGUUAAGACGCCAAAGUUUGCCUGCAGCUAUGAGAUCGUUGCACUGGCAACAAGCACCCAAUGAAGAAAAGCGCAGUCGGUGUUAGCCCCUUAGAUCUGCCAGAAAGUGGUUCAUCUCAUAAACUGGCAUUUUACCAGCACUCGUUUUGAGCCUCCUGCUGAUCUUAUGUCAUGUAAAAUAAAGCAAACUAGGUUGACCUUAUUUGGGAGUCGUUUUCUAUUUUCAAUUCCUACUUGUUGCACAAAUGGAAUGUUUCAUUUCUCCGAGGAGUCAGUUUGCUAUUGAUGAUGACAUGAUUUUCAAUAAAUUGUCGACCUCGGAUCUUUGAUGA